UACGGGGGGGGCAAGCGUUGUUCGGAAUUACUGGGCGUAAAGGGUUCGUAGGCGGCCUACUAAGUCAUACGUGAAAUCCCUCAGCUUAACUGGGGAACUGCGUCUGAGACUGGAAGGCUUGAGUGCAGGAGAGGAACGCGGAAUUCCAGGUGUAGCGGUGAAAUGCGUAGAUAUCUGGAGGAACACCGGUGGCGAAGGCGGCGUUCUGGACUGCAACUGACACUGAGGAACGAAAGCCAGGGGAGCAAACGGG
This 253-nucleotide ribosomal RNA is filed under the name uncultured bacterium. RNAcentral describes it as "partial 16S ribosomal RNA". It matches the Rfam family "Bacterial small subunit ribosomal RNA", at positions 524 to 776 of the family's 1533-position model. The record is from RNAcentral.